AAAUCUUUUUCAUUUAACGUGAUAUAAUCUCAUUUCAAGAUUUCCAUUUUGAAACUGGAGAUAUUAUCAAAACAAGAAUAUUCUUUUUUUCUGUGUAGUAUUUCUCAAAAUAGUAUUGAUCCUAUUUUAUUAUAACAGAUAGAUCAUUAUUCCUUACAUCUACAUACAUACUCUCCAAAUUUUAUAGAGUGAAAAAUACUGUCACUAUAAUUUUACAAUUUUACUUAUUACUUACUUUUUGCUCUAUAAAAUUUGGAGAGAAGAUUUACAUACUUGUACGUAUGUGUGUGUGUGUGCGUGCGUGCGUGCGUAAUAUAUAAAAAUUUUGUAAAUAAUUUUUUACAUUAUUUUAUUAAUUUUGUUUUUAGAACGUCGAAUACACGGAAAAUCUCGUGCACGGUGGUAUCGCCAACGGGCGGAUUUGACCCGCUAUAAUUGGAGAGGAGGCAUAAAAAGAGGGGUAAUUCGAUGUGCUGAAUACAGGAAAAAUAGUGAAAAAAAGAGAUCCGGCCCGCGUAGUAAGAGAGGGGGAAAUUGCGAAGCGCUCGCGUCCCACCGCGUCAGCCACACAUUCCGUCGUCGUCCGCAUCGGCGUCUGCUGCACUCGACGCGAGAGUUCCUUUGUUGGAAUAUAUAUUGAAUAUACAGUUUUUUUAUACGAAUCGCAUCGUUUCUGACCUUCUAUCCGCCCUUUUCCUGACAAUAUAUAUAUACAUAUUUGGCGGAUUUUCACCUCAGGUGUGGUGAUUAUAUCUUGGACGGUUCUUUUCAGGAUAGUCCAAGCGCGUUCUCAUUUGGUGGUGGUUGGACGCAUCUAGGAUUUUUUAAACUAUUUUUUUCGUAUUUAGCGCAAAAAAUUACGUUGAAAAACACCCAAAAAUCAUUGCAUCAAUUUUUUUGCAUUGACCUUUCCCUUGCGGACGGGACUGGUC
This is a long non-coding RNA of Monomorium pharaonis (pharaoh ant), 932 nucleotides long. RefSeq lists it as uncharacterized. NCBI's taxonomy places the organism in Eukaryota, Metazoa, Arthropoda, Insecta, Hymenoptera, Formicidae. The record is from RefSeq and is a predicted model, not a curated record. The transcript is spliced from 2 exons.